RNAcentral lists this ribosomal RNA (1430 nucleotides) under uncultured bacterium. RNAcentral's name for it is "bacterial SSU rRNA". It matches the Rfam family "Bacterial small subunit ribosomal RNA". The record is from RNAcentral.
CUUAACACAUGCAAGUCGAGGGGCAGCAUGGUCUUAGCUUGCUAAGGCCGAUGGCGACCGGCGCACGGGUGAGUAACACGUAUCCAACCUGCCGUCUACUCUUGGACAGCCUUCUGAAAGGAAGAUUAAUACAAGAUGGCAUCAUGAGUCCGCAUGUUCACAUGAUUAAAGGUAUUCCGGUAGACGAUGGGGAUGCGUUCCAUUAGAUAGUAGGCGGGGUAACGGCCCACCUAGUCUUCGAUGGAUAGGGGUUCUGAGAGGAAGGUCCCCCACAUUGGAACUGAGACACGGUCCAAACUCCUACGGGAGGCAGCAGUGAGGAAUAUUGGUCAAUGGGCGAGAGCCUGAACCAGCCAAGUAGCGUGAAGGAUGACUGCCCUAUGGGUUGUAAACUUCUUUUAUAAAGGAAUAAAGUCGGGUAUGGAUACCCGUUUGCAUGUACUUUAUGAAUAAGGAUCGGCUAACUCCGUGCCAGCAGCCGCGGUAAUACGGAGGAUCCGAGCGUUAUCCGGAUUUAUUGGGUUUAAAGGGAGCGUAGAUGGGUGUUUAAGUCAGUUGUGAAAGUUUGCGGCUCAACCGUAAAAUUGCAGUUGAUACUGGAUAUCUUGAGUGCAGUUGAGGCAGGCGGAAUUCGUGGUGUAGCGGUGAAAUGCUUAGAUAUCACGAAGAACUCCGAUUGCGAAGGCAGCCUGCUAAGCUGCAACUGACAUUGAGGCUCGAAAGUGUGGGUAUCAAACAGGAUUAGAUACCCUGGUAGUCCACACGGUAAACGAUGAAUACUCGCUGUUUGCGAUAUACUGCAAGCGGCCAAGCGAAAGCGUUAAGUAUUCCACCUGGGGAGUACGCCGGCAACGGUGAAACUCAAAGGAAUUGACGGGGGCCCGCACAAGCGGAGGAACAUGUGGUUUAAUUCGAUGAUACGCGAGGAACCUUACCCGGGCUUAAAUUGCAGAUGAAUUACGGUGAAAGCCGUAAGCCGCAAGGCAUCUGUGAAGGUGCUGCAUGGUUGUCGUCAGCUCGUGCCGUGAGGUGUCGGCUUAAGUGCCAUAACGAGCGCAACCCUUGUUGUCAGUUACUAACAGGUUCCGCUGAGGACUCUGACAAGACUGCCAUCGUAAGAUGUGAGGAAGGUGGGGAUGACGUCAAAUCAGCACGGCCCUUACGUCCGGGGCUACACACGUGUUACAAUGGGGGGUACAGAGGGCCGCUACCACGCGAGUGGAUGCCAAUCCCCAAAACCUCUCUCAGUUCGGACUGGAGUCUGCAACCCGACUCCACGAAGCUGGAUUCGCUAGUAAUCGCGCAUCAGCCACGGCGCGGUGAAUACGUUCCCGGGCCUUGUACACACCGCCCGUCAAGCCAUGGGAGCCGGGGGUACCUGAAGUGCGUAACCGCGAGGAGCGCCCUAGGGUAAAACUGGUGACUGGGCC